GCCGGCGUGGCGGAAUGGCAGACGCAGUAGACUCAAAAUCUACCGCACGCAAGUGUGUGUGAGUUCAAGUCUCACCGCCGGCA
This 83-nucleotide transfer RNA is filed under the name Treponema sp. RNAcentral describes it as "tRNA-Leu". It matches the Rfam family "tRNA". From Rfam's summary of the family: Transfer RNA (tRNA) molecules are approximately 80 nucleotides in length. Their secondary structure includes four short double-helical elements and three loops (D, anti-codon, and T loops). The record is from RNAcentral. Lineage: Bacteria; Pseudomonadati; Spirochaetota; Spirochaetia; Treponematales; Treponemataceae.